Molecule: ribosomal RNA, 253 nt
Filed under: uncultured bacterium
Lineage: Bacteria
Description: partial 16S ribosomal RNA
Rfam family: Bacterial small subunit ribosomal RNA
Source: RNAcentral
UACGGAGGGGGCGAGCGUUAUUCGGAAUUAUUGGGCGUAAAGGGCGCGUAGGCGGCCUUCUAAGUCGAACGUGAAAUCCCCGGGCUCAACCCGGGAACUGCGUCCGAUACUGGAAGGCUUGAAUCCGGGAGAGGGAUGUGGAAUUCCAGGUGUAGCGGUGAAAUGCGUAGAUAUCUGGAGGAACACCGGUGGCGAAGGCGACAUCCUGGACCGGUAUUGACGCUGAGGCGCGAAAGCCAGGGGAGCAAACGGG